RNA transcript from Cornus florida, 10410 nucleotides. It is a transcript of the gene named probable transcription factor KAN2, with no coding region annotated. The record is from RefSeq and is a predicted model, not a curated record. The transcript has 7 exons. NCBI's taxonomy places the organism in Eukaryota, Viridiplantae, Streptophyta, Magnoliopsida, Cornales, Cornaceae.
CUAUUAGGACAGUCUUUUAGUGACGCACUAAAACUUGUCCCUAAAAAUCUUAUUAUUAGGGACGAGCAAAUUUUACCAUCCUUAAUAACAGCCUUUAGGGACGAUCAAUUUGAUCCAUCACCAAAUCUCUAAAAUCUGUCCCUAAAAAUAUUUUUUUUGGCACAGUCUAUCUAAUACCUUCCCAAAUUCCACACACAAAAAAAAAAAAAAAAAAAUAGUGCCAAACUUAGCGCUUCAAUAUUCUCUUGUUUGACACUAUUGUAUGCGGCAAAAAUGAAAUAUAUAAAAUUAUUUUAUUUUACAAAAUAGGGAAGCCCAUCAAACUACGUCGUUUUAAUCUAAAAAAAUUAGCAUUUGCAAACCUCUUCCACCAUCACAAACCUCUUUAGUUCUUCGAUCUCAAAAGUUGCAGAUGUCUUCCUCUUUAGUUCUUCGAUUUGACGUUCAUAUAACCCACUUGGGUUCAUGAUCCUCGCCCUAGUUUUUUUUAGGGUUUCGAAAUUGCAAAAGGCUUAACAAUUGAAGGGGUAAAUUACAAAUCUGGAAAAGGCUUGUCGUAUGAGUCUGAAUCGCUGUGGAAAAUCAUACAGCUUGUGGAGAGUGCGCUAAUAUGAAAGUGGACAAAGGAUUAACAUCAUCGCCUGUUUCUCAGCUUCCACUAGAGUAACCAAAACAGAAGUCUGAAAGGAAGGUAUCUAUAGAAGCAGACUGAUAAGAAUGAUAAUGACAGAUAAGUCACAUAAUUCUAAUGCCUCUUUGUUCUUGCGUAGAAAUCUUUAUAUUGACUUAAUGACAUUCAACUUUAGAGGUACGAAGACUUAGUUCGUGAUUCUUAUCAUGCUUGGACGAUUUGUAGACUUGAAGAUUUCAAUUCUUGUAAAGGUCGACUAGAAAUGUCAUUUGUAGCCAUUUUGUCAAAUGUGUAUAUUUAAUUCCAAACUUGUAUUAUGUGCUUAAGCACACUUUUUGGUAUUCAUUCUAUGUAUAUGAUAUGUGGCCAAAGGCCAAACUUCAUUUGUAAUCCAUGUAUAUUGAAAAAUGUAGAAUUUUGCCUUUAAUAAGAAAAGCAUGAAAACUUGGGUUUCAAUAUGUCAUUUUCGCACCGGUGUGUGCAUUGUGUAUGUAAUUCAUCCUUUAGCAUUCAUUUGCCAUAUGUGAGGUGUGGCCAAUGGCCAAACACCAUUUAGUUUUCAUUUUUACAUUUUAGUUCACAUAUUGCAUUUUUGGGCUAAAAUAGUAUAAACUGAGCCUUUAAGGCUCCAUUUUCAACUCGGGUGGUGUAAAGUGUGUUCCGGCACCUCCACUAGGUCUCAUUUAUCUUGUAUGAAGUGUGGCUAAGGACCAAACGGUCAUUUGAAACCAUUUCCUAAUUUUGGUUUCCAUAUUUUCCAUUUCAAGUUCAUUUUCGCCUUUUUGGCCGUUGGGGGGUCAGAUUUUGACUCGGCCAUUUUCGGGAGCCGCGGACUAUUCCCCCGUGCUCAAAAUCACCAUUUAAGUCUGUGUGCAUGAUCAUUUCCAGGAAAAACCCUUUCGUUUGUGUUUUGAGACUCCAAUCGACUCGUUUAACCUUUUUAUUGAAAAUUCUAGCUUAAAGGCAUUUUGGGAAUUUCCUUCUUGAAAUAAAUUCCGUUCCUAACUUUGUCUCUUAGAAAAUGUGAUUUUAGGGGGAGUUUCUUCUUCGUAUUUUUCCAAAAAAUGUCAUCUUGACCACGAAAACCGCGUUGCAAACUCAUUUUUUUGCUAAAAUUACUAUUUCUGCAUUUUUUGAGGUUCCAAACCACCCCACUGCCUCAUUUGGCAGGCCCCCGCAGUGUUUUGGCGGGCGCCCGCGAGAAUCUGCCGCAUUUGGCCAGCCCCCGCAGGUUUUUGGCUGGCUCCCGCGGGAACAAUUCCUGCUCCAGACAUCUUUCUUCAACGGGCCAUAUCUCACUCGUUUUAACUCUGAAUUGGUUCGUUCUUGAGUCUAAACUGACCGCGUCGAAAUAAGAUUUCCAAUGGUACCAAUUAGAGCUCCAGAUUCCAUUUUUAGCUCAAGUUAUUCAUGUUUUAGCAAGAUAGUGUCAGAAUUUGGUUCGAACCGGGAUAGGGUUUUCCUUCCUUCGACUUCAGGACUUUAUAUCUUUGCCGUCCGAACUCCGAAUCAGGUGAUUCUUGAGUCCAACUUCAUUCAUUUUUCAUUUUCUAUCUAAUGGUGUACACGGGGGCACUCAUUUUAGUUUGGAAUUACCAUUUUACCCUUUUAGCCAUAAGUGCUCAUUUUUCUUCGUCUUGUCGUUUCUCCUUCAUCUGGACUCCAAAUCAUGUGAUUCUUGAGUCCAUCUUGAUUAGUUUUUCAUUGUCUUUCCACCGGUGUGCUCAGUGGCACCCGAAUCUAUAUUCUCACAGAUGAUAAUUUUGCCCCUGGGGUUUUAAUUGUUACUUUUCCGAUCUCUUGCUUCCGCACUUAUCCCUUUGGGUUCCGUGACCUCAUGAAAGGUCUUCUUAGGGUCUUUAAAGUGUGUUAUGCUUUGGAAGACCAUUGUAUUGUUUCUAGCUUUUGCAUCUUGGAUCCAGUUUGGGUCAUCACAGGACACUGGGUUAAAAAAACCCAGGGUCGUUACACGUCGGAACUCCAUUCACAAAGACAAAGAACCGAACGCUAGAAAUGCAAAAAAGAAUCCAUCUCCUCCACUGCCCACCAAAACCCAUCAUCUACAACAGGUAGAGAAGGAAGUUCCAGCUCACAUGGUCGUACGCCUUUUCAAUAUCCAACUUACAAAGAACACCUGGAACACUGCUGCUCAAACGAAAAUCCACACAUUCACUAGCAAUAAUAACUGAAUCCAAAAUAUGACGACCUCUCGCAAAGGCAUUCUGAGAGUCAGAAAUGACGCCAUCCAUCACCUUUUUCAACCUAGAGGCCAAGACUUUCGCAUCACCUUUUUUGAAAUCUCUAACAUCCAUUGCCUUUCCCUUAUUCGGAAUAAGAACAAUAAAAGUUGUAUUUAAACUUUUCUCAAAAGAGCCCUGCACAUGGAAGGCGUGAAAAGAGCCCAUCAGCUCCUCACGAACCACAUCCCAAUAUUCCAAAAGGAACCUCAUAGUAAAACCAUCAGGCCCAGGGGCUUUGUCCCCAUUACAGCUCUUCAGAGCAGAGAGAACUUCCUCUUCUGAAAAAGGCUCUUCCAAAAUAGAGCAUUCCUCUCCCAAAAUAGAUUCAAGUAAAGCCCAUCAUGCAAAGGACGCCAACCUGCUAAUUCAGUGAAUAACUUCGAAAAGUACUUAGAAAAACUCUUACAAAUCUCCUCCUCUUUACUAAUCAACACCUCAUCCACCCGAAUCCUCCCAAUGCGGUUGCCCCUUCUGUGAGCAUUGGCAAGUCUAUGAAAGAAUUUAGUGUUAUUAUCACCUUCCUUAAGCCACAAAGCUCUAGAUUUCUGUCUCCAUGAAAUCUCCUCCAUGACAGCAAUCUCAGCAAACUCUGCUUGACACUCCACCCUUCUAAGCUUCAAAGGAACCGUCAAAAGACCCAGACUUUCCAUCUUAUCAAUAUCAGCAAUCUCAGAGAGAACCCGAUUCUUCCUCUAAGCCAAAUUACCAAAAACCUCUUUGUUCCAAACUUUGAGAUCCUUCUUUAAAAAACGCAACUUGCCUACCAAAGAAUGACUAGGAGUGCCAGCCACUCCAUACCCCGCCCACCAGGAUCGUACUCGCUCUAGAAAGCCUUCAGCCCGGAACCACAUAUUCUCAAAUCUAAAAGGGGAUCCCUGCUACGCAGCCCACCACAAUCCAACAACAACGGAACAUGAUUGGACAAAGGAUGAGCAAAAGUGGCUUGAACAACGUCAGAAAACUUUUCAUCCCAAUCACUUGACACCAAAAAUCUAUCAAAAUGAGAAAGAGUAGGAGGAAAACGUCCACUGGACCAAGUGAAAGGCCCACCCACCAAAGGAAAAUCAAGCAAAUAGAAAGCAUCAAUAAACUCUGAAAAAACCAUCAUAUCAGCCGUCCACCUGCCCCCUGUCGACCUCUUAAAAGGGGAACGCACAACAUUGAAAUCCCUUAUGAUACACCAAGGCAGCGACCAUUGCCUACGAAUUUCCCCCAGCUCUUCCAAGAGCAAAUGGCAAUCACGAUCCUUCGUAGGCCCAUAGACUCCAGAAAAAACCCAGCAAAAGCCAUCCUCCACCAUGGACAAAACACAAGACGCUGAGAAAAACCCAACCUGAGAGUCCAACAAUAAGAUCUAACGAACAUCCCACAUAAUCAGGAUAUUACCCGAAGAGCCAAUCGCAUCCAAGGCAAACCACUCCACGAAUCUCCCACCCUACAAGCUUCGAACAAUCACAUCCGACAUUGAGGCAAUCUUGGUUUCUUGAAGACACACUAGAUGACCGCCCGCUUUUUGAAUCACCGAUUUCACCAUUUUCCUAGUCGGGUCGUUGAGACCCCGGACAUUAUUCCAUGAAAGAAUUUGUAGCUUUAUAGGGAAACAGUAGUGUUAACCAUCUCACCUCUCUGUCCAUUGGCUCUCUCCUUAGCCCCUCUCCUCCUCCUUUCAUAAGUAACGAGAGUCGAGGGACUUGGACUCCCUCUCUCCUCUUUCUCUAUUGGAACACUCCCCCUACUAUCCAUUGUAUCCGCAAACUGAGCAUUAAGAACAUCAAGGAAUAAACUUGUCGCCUCCUCUAUCCGACCCUCAAAAGACACACCCAAAAGAGAACCUAUCUCAACUUUCUUUUCCUUCAUCCAAUCAUUCUCCAAAUCAGUCAACCCUACAUCAAAUCCCAUCCCUUCUGCAAAAUUCCCAUCCGGUCUAACAACAGCCAAAGGUGUAAGCAAAUCAAAAUCAGACUCGCAUCCAUUCCACAAAAUCAUACCCAAAUCACCAUGAACAGAGGAACACGACCCAUCAUCCCCAUACUCAACAGAUGACAAAGAUGGAGAGUAGCAAAAAAGUGGGGUCUCAUCAGCCAAAAGAUCAUUCUACUCAAUAAGAGAACCCUUUGACCCAAGAUAAGCCCUCAAAUCAUUCAAGAGCACAGCAGCUGAAACAUCAUCAAUCCUUAUCUUCACAUCCUGGCCCACACACACAGUAAUUCUAUCACUGCUAACAUCACACAACUGAGAGGAACCCAUCUCAAUACCACCAUCUUCACCAGGUCUUUUCUCAAAAAUGGGUACUGGCUCCCUUUCAAAAAUCGGGGAUAAGCAUUUUGAAACAGAAGACACCACUCCCUUUUUCGGCACCAAGCUCCUUCGUGAUACCCCGCAAAGGUGAAAAGAGGAAGGAGAAGAGAGAGAAGGAGAAGGAUCAGGCGAAACAAAAGACAUACCAGAUCUAGAGUCAAUCUGCGAAACCGGAAUCCACUUCUGCUUUUCCUUUCUAGACCAUUUUUUGUGAAGAGGGGGAAAUAACAUUUUCUUCUUCAUACGGUGUCCCUGCGUAUGCCCUUAGGAAGCCAAUUUCUUCUCGAUCCUUCUGGGAAAGCUCUAGAUGGAUGAAUGUCAACGUCUUCCACAACAUCACAUAAAGGCCCUAUGAUACCCCUCGGAUCCGAGACACGGGUUGAUUAGGCCUAGGCCCAAACCCAAGAGAAUAUCAAACAAUUAAUAUUUAAUGCGAACACAGAAUACAAGAUGAAAUAAUAAGAAGUAAAUAAAAAUGGCUGAAAAGAACUCUAAUUGAAAAUCCUCAAAAUAAUGUUAUAAAAAUCCAAACUCCAAAACCUCCAAUCAAUUAACAACUCGGGAAUCCAUUUAGUGGACCCCUAAUAAAAAUCCUAACUAUAAAUGAAAUAACUGAAUUAAGAUCCAAAGCUAAUAAGUAAGCAAUCCUACGUAGUCGGUGGAAUAGAAGUCUGUAUCUGCUCUGCACGACCAAGCUCUAACCCUGGAACUGACGAGCACCUGAAAAAAUAAAAGAGUGGGUCAGGCUCACAUUCAAGUCCUGAUCUACUACGAUCCAAACAGGAAUCCGAUACGCAGAUACAUCCUAGAUAGACUUAAUAAUAUCUAGAGUAGUCCAUAUAUGUAUAUAUUACACACUAUAGGAUGUUCACUAGUCCAAUAGGUCUGUCUCAGCUUGAGUAGAGAUACCAUGCAAAUCGCACAUUACGUGGUCAUGUGUACCUAAACCUACUAGGGAACAAUAACUACUGUCCAGCUGUCCAUUCUAGGCGAUAUACGCACCCUAAUCAUGGUCAUGAGACUCAAGCUCAUACCAUGGCAUCAUACCAUAAAUAUAUAAAGUCCGUGUCCUCCCAAUACAAAAUAUCAUCCAUCUGAUAUAGUGACUUGAUAUCUGUAUAACAAUUCAUCCCAGAAAUCCAACUAUGUCAUUCCGUUAUUUACAGACCUGACACUAACAGAAGUCGGACUUAACUUUUAUUGUUAAUCCAAACCUCAAUCCAGAUUAGGUAGGCUUAGUGUCUGACUAAUCCAUACCUGGUAUAUAUGCUACCAUCCCAUACCGGUGCAUACUAUCCUCCAUUUACCAUAGUUGACACAAACAGUAUAAAUAGUUAUCAACUACAUUCCAAAACAAGUACAAAUACAAUUUAACAUAUGUAAAACUAAAUCAUGCAUCCAAUAACAGAUUUAGAAACCAAAUCCCAGUCCUUUAAAUUGACAGAAUCCAACUAUGCAAUUACCUCCUCCAAGCAGUGUCGUAACAGAUGAGAUAUAUAACAGAGCUAAUUGUCAGUUAAUCCCAACCAAACAUACUUAUAAUUAAAUAACAGAAUGCUUAUAACUCAGCUGUAAAACAUGAUUCAUAACUUAAGAUCAUGCAAAGGCAUCAAAUUUUUAAAAUAGUCUGCAAUACAAGUCAAUUGUUCAAUCUUCCACAUACAGAUCUUGGUUUAAUCUUAUGUUAAUUCCGUCCUCAAUAUUUAAGAGUAAAACAUACUUCCCAACAUUAAUAUAAGUUUUUAGCAAUGCAUUACACCAUUCUGUGGCCUUUAAAUAAUUUUAGAAAACCCCGUUUCGCCAAACAGUCCCUAAAAACCUCGUUUUUGUGUGUUUUAAGAGAGAGCAGGCUCUUAAAAUGGGAGCCUGCUUUAUUUUUUCAUCUAGAGUGGCUCUAGGCUCUUAGAGCCGGCUCCACAACACCAAGAGCCAGCUCUCCCCUUUGGGAGCCGGCUCUAAGAGGUUUGGGAGCCCUCUCUCCCUCCUCUUAGCAGCCUCUGUUCGUUUCAUCUUCCUCCUCUCCAAUUCUGAUAAUCACCAGUCCUCUGUAGUAGUUUUCAAUACAUGUUUUAAAGUCCAUCCAGAUUCCAUAUUGGUUAUAGAACAAGAAUAUACAAUCAAAACUUGAAUUGAAACAUAAGUUGUAACACAACGCAGCAAGGUUUCAGGUUAAAAUUUUAAAGCAACUAAGAACAGAUUUAUUUCAUGAAUUUAAUUACAGAUUAAACAUGCAUAACAGAUGUAAUUAAGCCUUAGUUUAAUCCUUGGAGUCUUUCUAAGCAUGCACAGAACACAGAUUAAAGGGAUAGAGUAGAACAAAACUUGUCUUUGAGUUUCAGAUUUGAAACUCUAAUUCCACAGUUUCUGAAUGCUACGUUAGUGUCCUAUACUGCAGGUUUACUCCUCCGGUAAUUUGGUUCCACCCAGAAACAACCUUGUUCCUUCCUCCUUGAACUGCUUUGUUAAGCACCCAAGGUCACUCUGUGUUUCCUCCUCUGUAUCUCUCUGUGUCACAGACUUAAGUUUACGUUUCUCUAAAACCCUAAACCCCAAUAUUCUUAUGUAUUUAUAGGGUUCAAGUAACCAAACCUUAUUCCCAUUCUAACUAUGAGUCGGCCACAUUAAAACCCAAAACCCUAAAUUACGAUAAAGAAAAAUAAAUACACAACAAAUUAAUUAAUUAAAUCAAUUAAAUAACUAUAGUAGUUAAAACAGUAAAAGACAACUCAUUAAUUAAAAACACUUAAACAAUUAAUGCAAGAGAAUACAAUUAACCACUUAAACAAAUAAUUCCAAUUAAGUAAACAAAAUAAAAAAAAUUAACAAAUAAUUGAAUAAAACAAUUAAGCGAACAAUUAAAUAAAACAAUUAAGCAGAUAAUCAAAUAAUAAUAAAUUAAAUUCCUGAAAUAUCCUUUUAAAAUUAGGGGUAUUACAGGCCCGUAACGGUUGCCGUUACUGACCCAGAAAAAACAUUAGGAGAACCCGGUCCUCCCUUCAAUUCACAACCCAAGUCAAUGAGUCCUUGGCCAAGAUAUAUAACAUCUGAUGAGUGGGCCGCUCCACCUCCAUCCGGACCACAAGAUGACAAUUUACCUUUAUCAAUAAAUCCAGGCUCGCCAACCAUAGGCCUACAAGAAGAAAAUGAGUUCGAUCCAGAAACCUUACCCACCAGCCCAUUAUUAGGCCCAGCCACCGAUUUAAUCCCAAAUUCGGCCUUAUUAUUUUUCGAAGCCCAAGAUUUUGAAAUAAAAGUGGAUGCAGCUGUCAUCCACUUUGAACGGCCAAAUCAUCUGCACCAACCACGUGUAUGGCCGUUAAUCUUCCCCUUCCCACGUGCUUGAUUGACGUGAGAAACACUAUGGCGACGCUCCUUCCUCCACAUCUGUGUGAACGCCGGACGGCUAAACUCGAUGAGACCACCACCCUUAUGUCUUUCCCAGAAUCUCUUUUGCCGUCGAAGAUCAGUCCCAUCCGAAAAGCCUUCUAUCCUUCUCACAGUGAAUAAUCUUCUAAAACAUUCUGAGUUACGCUUCCAUAGAUCGUCCCUCCAUUCCUCCCAUCUCUGAAACUUAGCCAAACCUUUCUUCCCCAAAGAUUCCCACCUUAACCAUUCUGUCUUCUUCAGCAGGUGUGAACCAUCACCUUCUUCCAAACUAUUCGUCGUUGACACAAGUUCAGGAGGCUUCUCUUCCCACAUCUUUACUUUGUAGCUUAGACGAUCAUCGUGGAUGAAAACAAAAGGAGGACAAACCUUGCCAUCGAACACUAUGAUGCGAACCCUUUCAGCGUCAAUUGCUUCAUCAACUUCCACCCAGAUGAUACCAUCGCAUAGAUCACCGACCAUCACAAACAGGGCAUACUCCAAAGAUAGAGAGGGAGACCAUACAACGUCACAAUCUUCAGGCCCUUACCCUUUAACACCUCGGAACACCCAACCCUAAAACUCCAAGAUUCCACUAGUAAUGUGGCCGUCCCCCAAACACGGCGACCUUCUUUGAGCACAUGAGAAACCUCCUUCGAAGAGGGGAAGCGAAAUAGCAACAAAGAAUCUGAUAGAGGAAAGACCACAGCACUGGAAGAAACCUUCCAAACACGAGAAACCCAAGCCGCGAUUUGAGCCCUAUCACCCACAUCCUUGUCGAACUUACCCACCAAACAUGAUCGAAUGUCUCUCUUCUUUUUCCAACCGAAUCAUUAUCCAAAAAAAACGAAUGCCGUCGAUAAGUGUUUGCAGAUCUAACAGUUCCACCUUGAAAUAGACGGGGUAACCUCGCAACAUCCAAGAACGACCUCAUUCCUCAAUAUUCAUAACACCCACUGAUUGAUGCAGAUGCAGCAAUUAACAGCUUUGCUGUGAAUUAUUUUGAAACAUUAAUUAGAAGGAUGUAAACAUUACAAGUUUAGAUUAUAGGGGUUUAAUUAUUUUUGUUGAUUUAGGUCAAUCAGAUGUGUUUGAUAAUGGGUCAUCCGGAGAUAAUUCUGAGGAUUCAAUGUUUGAUAUUGAGAACCUUAAAAGGCCUGAGCUAUCAAUUCAGCAUCCAAGAUCAAAUGUGCAUCAAGACAAUGACUCUCAUGGGCUUUUGAUCGAGCAACCCUUCAAGCCUAUUCUUUAUUUGGAAAAAGAUGUGCCAAACCUUGACCACGAAGAAUAUCCAUUUCCAGCAAAGGGCUUGAGCAUGACCUAGGACAGGUUAAGAGAUCAGGUUUUUUAUUUUAGGGUUGGAAACAUCCUGAUAUGAUGUUUGCUACAAGGCGCAGCUUAUCUGAUGCAUGCACUUCUAUAGCUAAACAGCUUGAGAAUGUUUACUCAUCGGUUUCGCAUCACCUCGAUAUUCACAUGUCAUAAGGAAAAUGAUGUUUGUUGAUAGUGUUUUACGUAUGUGUUGCUCUGAUGUACUGGAGAUAGGUAGCUCAGCUCAGUUUAUCCUUUGUGAUAUGAUUCCGAUCCAGAAUAUAGUAGGUCCUCCGUUAAGCAUGGGAAGCACCAUUGGUUUGGAAGAGAAGUUGGAUACAAUUCAGAAGCUACUUGAGCAGCAACAACAUUUUCAUGAUUGCAUUUAGUUUAAAAUGAUGUUUUAAUUUUUGAGGAUGUUUGGAACCAUUUGAUGUUAAAGUAGCUAGUAGAUACUUUUAGUUCUUGUUUACAAAACUAAAGAAUUUGUAGCUUCUUCGUCAGAUUAAGAGCUCGUUUGUUGGCAUUGUAUUGUGAUGAUAAUCUAUUUUUUUCUUUCUAGAAUGA